CUAUGCGCCUUGCCAGCCCGCUCAGGUGUGCCAGCCGCGCGGUAAUACGUAGGGAGCGAGCGUUAUCCGGAAUUAUUGGGUGUAAAGGGUGCGUAGACGGGAACUUAAGUUAGUUGUGAAAUCCCUUAGCUCAACUAAGGAAUGGCAACUGAAACUGGGUUUCUUGAGUGCAGGAGAGGAAAGUGGAAUUCCUAGUGUAGCGGUGGAGUGCGCAGAUAUUAGGAGGAACACCGGUGGCGAAGGCGGCCUGCUGGACUGCAACUGACGUUGAGGCCCGAAAGCGUGGGAGCAAACAGG
RNAcentral lists this ribosomal RNA (297 nucleotides) under uncultured bacterium. RNAcentral describes it as "partial 16S ribosomal RNA". It matches the Rfam family "Bacterial small subunit ribosomal RNA", at positions 471 to 776 of the family's 1533-position model. The record is from RNAcentral.